UUCUUAAUUCUUCUCUUGGUUCUUAUCAUCAUCAUCCUCAUCCAUGUCCUUAUUAUCCGAUACAUUGCUUCGAGGAAGUUUGCUGAGCUCAUUUUUCCCAUCAUCUCCACAAAGAAAUUCCAAUCCAUAUUCAAUUUCUCUAGCUACUUUCUAGUUUAAGCAGAUGCAGACAUUGUGACCUUUCUUCCUUAUUCAAGUAAUACAACUCUUUGUUGAUAUUGGUUGUGGGCCGUGUGGCCACCAUGGUCAGUUGCAUUGGUUGCCCUGUAGCCAUUUAGAGUAGAUACUAUUAGUAUUGUCGAGAGACACGAUUUUCAAACAGCUAGAAUACUUUUAAUUCUUAAAAGAAGAAGAUCUUGCCAAGAUUGGAGAUGUUUCAGGCUUCGUCUGUUAGAAUUGUAUAGUUAGCAACAUAAUCUGCGAAUGUUCCUUGGCUGGUAUGAUAGUUGUAAAUCUUGCGGAUAGAAUAGUUUUCACAAAUAGGAUUUUGAUAUGGCUAAUUAAACAUCAUUGUAAUUGAAAGGAAGAGGCAGAUGUAUUAUGAAAUAAUAAGAAAGAGGAGGAAAAAAAAAACUUGAGACAACCUGCUACAAAAGAACAAACUGCACUAAGCAGUAAAACUGUUUGUGACAACAAACUAAAAAAGAAGAUGCUGAAAAUCAACUAUACAAUUUUAUAUUUCUCUAGCUCCUAUUAAUCCCGUCCACUCUCCCGUAAUCUACUCAACACCCUUAAGCCUGCAUCUAAUAACCUCCUUGAUACGAUUAAGAGAGGACCAUAAGCUUUAGCAGAUAACUUCCUGGUAGUUAAUGGGACUCCUAAGUACCUGACUGGAAAAGAUCCUACUUUGAAGACAGUGAUAGAUUGAAUUUCUAUAAGCACAUAGGCUUUGAUGCCAGAACAGAAAAUCCCAGAUUUUGAGCUAUUCAGUUGAAGGCCAGAUAUAACGUACAGAAAUAAUUUAGAAUAUUCUCUAUUGCUGCAACUGAAUUGAGAGUACCUUUGCAGAAAACCAUGAGAUCAUCUUCAAAGAAAACACGAUCAAUGAGUUGGACUUGCUUGCAUUUAGGAUGGAACUGAAUUUGAC
This 1087-nucleotide long non-coding RNA is filed under the name Theobroma cacao (cacao). RNAcentral describes it as "long non-coding RNA (TCAC_LNC005143)". Lineage: Eukaryota; Viridiplantae; Streptophyta; Magnoliopsida; Malvales; Malvaceae. The record is from RNAcentral.